UCCGGCUUGUCACCGGCAGUCUCAUUAGAGUGCCCAACUGAAUGUAGCAACUAAUGACAAGGGUUGCGCUCGUUGCGGGACUUAACCCAACAUCUCACGACACGAGCUGACGACAGCCAUGCAGCACCUGUGUUCCGAUUCCCUUUCGGGCACACCCAAAUCUCUCUAGGCUUUCGGACAUGUCAAGGGUAGGUAAGGUUUUUCGCGUUGCAUCGAAUUAAUCCACAUAAUCCACCGCUUGUGCGGGUCCCCGUCAAUUCCUUUGAGUUUUAACCUUGCGGCCGUACUCCCCAGGCGGUCGACUUAACGCGUUAGCUGCGACACUGUGGACCAUAUGUCCCCAACGUCUAGUUGUCAUCGUUUAUGGCGUGGACUAC
This 377-nucleotide unclassified non-coding RNA is filed under the name uncultured Gammaproteobacteria bacterium. RNAcentral's name for it is "contains 16S-23S intergenic spacer region". Lineage: Bacteria; Pseudomonadati; Pseudomonadota; Gammaproteobacteria. The record is from RNAcentral.